RNAcentral lists this ribosomal RNA (1346 nucleotides) under uncultured bacterium. RNAcentral's name for it is "partial 16S ribosomal RNA". It matches the Rfam family "Bacterial small subunit ribosomal RNA", at positions 28 to 1381 of the family's 1533-position model. The record is from RNAcentral.
GACGAACGUUGGCGGCGUGCUUAACACAUGCAAGUCGAACGGAAAGGCCCUGCUUUUGUGGGGUGCUCGAGUGGCGAACGGGUGAGUAACACGUGAGUAACCUGCCCUUGACUUUGGGAUAACUUCAGGAAACUGGGGCUAAUACCGGAUAGGAGCUCCUGCUGCAUGGUGGGGGUUGGAAAGUUUCGGCGGUUGGGGAUGGACUCGCGGCCUAUCAGCUUGUUGGUGGGGUAGUGGCUUACCAAGGCUUUGACGGGUAGCCGGCCUGAGAGGGUGACCGGCCACAUUGGGACUGAGAUACGGCCCAGACUCCUACGGGAGGCAGCAGUGGGGAAUAUUGCACAAUGGGCGGAAGCCUGAUGCAGCAACGCCGCGUGCGGGAUGACGGCCUUCGGGUUGUAAACCGCUUUCGCCUGUGACGAAGCGUGAGUGACGGUAAUGGGUAAAGAAGCACCGGCUAACUACGUGCCAGCAGCCGCGGUGAUACGUAGGGUGCGAGCGUUGUCCGGAUUUAUUGGGCGUAAAGGGCUCGUAGGUGGUUGAUCGCGUCGGAAGUGUAAUCUUGGGGCUUAACCCUGAGCGUGCCUUCGAUACGGGUUGACUUGAGGAAGGUAGGGGAGAAUGGAAUUCCUGGUGGAGCGGUGGAAUGCGCAGAUAUCAGGAGGAACACCAGUGGCGAAGGCGGUUCUCUGGGCCUUUCCUGACGCUGAGGAGCGAAAGCGUGGGGAGCGAACAGGCUUAGAUACCCUGGUAGUCCACGCUGUAAACGGUGGGUACUAGGUGUGGGGUCCAUUCCACGGGUUCCGUGCCGUAGCUAACGCUUUAAGUACCCCGCCUGGGGAGUACGGCCGCAAGGCUAAAACUCAAAGGAAUUGACGGGGCCCCGCACAAGCGGCGGAGCAUGCGGAUUAAUUCGAUGCAACGCGUAGAACCUUACCUGGGUUUGACAUGGAUCGGGAGUGCUCAGAGAUGGGUGUGCCUCUUUUGGGGUCGGUUCACAGGUGGUGCAUGGCUGUCGUCAGCUCGUGUCGUGAGAUGUUGGGUUAAGUCCCGCAACGAGCGCAACCCUUGUUCACUGUUGCCAGCACGUUAUGGUGGGGACUCAGUGGAGACCGCCGGGGUCAACUCGGAGGAAGGUGGGGAUGACGUCAAGUCAUCAUGCCCCUUAUGUCCAGGGCUUCACGCAUGCUACAAUGGCUGGUACAGAGAGUGGCGAGCCUGUGAGGGUGAGCGAAUCUCGGAAAGCCGGUCUCAGUUCGGAUUGGGGUCUGCAACUCGACCUCAUGAAGUCGGAGUCGCUAGUAAUCGCAGAUCAGCAACGCUGCGGUGAAUACGUUCCCGGGGCU